RNAcentral lists this ribosomal RNA (917 nucleotides) under Crepidotus lanuginosus. RNAcentral describes it as "eukaryotic LSU rRNA". It matches the Rfam family "Eukaryotic large subunit ribosomal RNA", at positions 47 to 951 of the family's 3401-position model. The record is from RNAcentral. Lineage: Eukaryota; Fungi; Basidiomycota; Agaricomycetes; Agaricales; Crepidotaceae.
UAAGCGGAGGAAAAGAAACUAACAAGGAUUCCCCUAGUAACUGCGAGUGAAGCGGGAAAAGCUCAAAUUUGAAAUCUGGCAGUCUUUGAUUGUCCGAGUUGUAAUCUAGAGAAGUGUUACCCGCGUUGGACCGUGUACAAGUCUCCUGGAAUGGAGCGUCAUAGAGGGUGAGAAUCCCGUCUUUGACACGGACUGCCAGGGCUUUGUGGUGCGCUCUCAAAGAGUCGAGUUGUUUGGGAAUGCAGCUCAAAAUGGGUGGUAAAUGCCAUCUAAAGCUAAAUAUUGGCGAGAGACCGAUAGCGAACAAGUACCGUGAGGGAAAGAUGAAAAGAACUUUGGAAAGAGAGUUAAACAGUACGUGAAAUUGCUGAAAGGGAAACGCUUGAAGUCAGUCACGUUGGCUGGGAAUCAACCUUACUUUUGUUGGGUGUACUUUCUAGUUGACGGGUCAGCAUCAGUUUCGACCAGUGGAUAAAGGCGUAGGAAAUGUGGCAUCUUCGGAUGUGUUAUAGUCCUGCGUUGUAUACAUUGGUUGGGACUGAGGAACUCAGCACGCCGCAAGGCCGGGGUUCGCCCACGUUCGUGCUUAGGAUGCUGGCAUAAUGGCUUUAAUCGACCCGUCUUGAAACACGGACCAAGGAGUCUAACAUGCCUGCGAGUGUUUGGGUGGAAAACCCGAGCGCGUAAUGAAAGUGAAAGUUGAGAUCCCUGUCGUGGGGAGCAUCGACGCCCGGACCAGACCUUUUGUGACGGAUCCGCGGUAGAGCAUGUAUGUUGGGACCCGAAAGAUGGUGAACUAUGCCUGAAUAGGGUGAAGCCAGAGGAAACUCUGGUGGAGGCUCGUAGCGAUUCUGACGUGCAAAUCGAUCGUCAAAUUUGGGUAUAGGGGCGAAAGACUAAUCGAACCAUCUAGUAGC